Molecule: transfer RNA, 89 nt
Filed under: Saccharomyces cerevisiae (brewer's yeast)
Lineage: Eukaryota; Fungi; Ascomycota; Saccharomycetes; Saccharomycetales; Saccharomycetaceae
Description: partial transfer RNA-Tyr
Source: RNAcentral
GAGAGCCAUCGGUUCAACCAAAUUCCGCGUUCUGAAAUUAAAUAGUGAUGCUUUAGAACUCUAGCCCGCAAGCUGAGCGGGGGCCCUCU